UCCAUGGACUUCUCCAGUUUUCCCACGUAAGCGUUUGAUCGUUCCAUUGAACUGAAGUAUUUAUUAAUGUUAUUUUCUCAAGAUGGUUGAUUUAAGUGACCCUAAGUCCCAUGAGAAAUUUUCCGUAGACGUAAAGCUUCUGCUUAUACCAGGAGCCCUUCUGUUUCUUUUAGUAGUGUUCUUUAUUUACCGGAUAUUAAAGGCCAACCAUGAUAGGGUAAAAGCCAAACAAGAGAAGAAAAAGAUGAAGCAAGAAAAGAAGAAACAAUAACAGAUGGCAUUCAUAUUAGGAAUAAUAGUACAGUUUAUGAGUGGUGCUUUUCAGUUGUGAUAACGAACUGGAUUCUUCAACAUUUGGAUUUCGCCAUGUUUACUGAUCUCAGGUCGUAAUCUGUUUUUCUGGAUUCAUGGAAAUCCCUUGUGACUGGAUAUUUGACAUACAGUGCAAGGCCGCUGUAUCAUUUUUAGGUUAAUGGACAUCCAGUGGUGUUCAAAAAGAUGCCAUUACUGGGAAAUCUGUGCUCAUAAUAAUAAAAUAUUUUAAUUCUACUUGUAACAAAUUUUAUAAUAGUUAAAGUCUGCAACAGCUGGCAUUUAGUUAGUAACGUUUUUUCUCACUGAAUAGGAACCUCAAAUGUUUAUUCAAAGCUUUAUUGUGUCAUACACAAAAUAAUUGUCUUUCAACGUGGAAUAAGGUAGAAAUUCUACAUUGGAACUGCAACUAAAGAACAGGACUCUGACAAUAAUAUUCUGACAAUUAUGAAACUCUUGCCAGUAACAAACAGUUGCAUCAACUUGAACUUGAUUCUAACCAAGAACCAGUACUGAACUGAAUAAAAUAAUAUGCUUAGUUUG
This is a long non-coding RNA of Orbicella faveolata, 855 nucleotides long. RefSeq lists it as uncharacterized. The record is from RefSeq and is a predicted model, not a curated record. NCBI's taxonomy places the organism in Eukaryota, Metazoa, Cnidaria, Anthozoa, Scleractinia, Merulinidae.